RNAcentral lists this ribosomal RNA (482 nucleotides) under uncultured bacterium. RNAcentral's name for it is "partial 16S ribosomal RNA". It matches the Rfam family "Bacterial small subunit ribosomal RNA", at positions 30 to 507 of the family's 1533-position model. The record is from RNAcentral.
AUUGAACGCUGGCGGCAUGCUUUACACAUGCAAGUCGAACGGUAACAGGCCGCAAGGUGCUGACGAGUGGCGAACGGGUGAGUAAUGCAUCGGAACGUGCCCAGUCGUGGGGGAUAACUACUCGAAAGAGUAGCUAAUACCGCAUACGAUCUAUGGAUGAAAGCGGGGGACCGUAAGGCCUCGCGCGAUUGGAGCGGCCGAUGUCAGAUUAGGUAGUUGGUGGGGUAAAGGCUCACCAAGCCAACGAUCUGUAGCUGGUCUGAGAGGACAACCAGCUACACUGGGACUGAGACACGGCCCAGACUCCUACGGGAGGCAGCAGUGGGGAAUUUUGGACAAUGGGCGCAAGCCUGAUCCAGCAAUGCCGCGUGCAGGAAGAAGGCCUUCGGGUUGUAAACUGCUUUUGUACGGAACGAAACGGCUCUGGUUAAUACCCGGGGCUAAUGACGGUACCGUAAGAAUAAGCACCGGCUAACUACGUG